AUACAUUCUGCGCUUCCCCCAGCUGAGCUGUAUCUGCAGUCGAACGGUGGGGGAAAAAACCCCCAAAAGAAACAGCAACUUUAUGGAGACGUGCUCCUCCCGCAAACCUGCCAGCCUCAUCUGUCAGCCAUUAGUUAAUCAGGGCUGGUGACUGGAAAAACUGGAGAGAGAACGGGCGAGGCCCCUGGGACUGGAGGACAGCUUCAAUCUCCGAGAGCGCAACGAGGGCAAGGACUCUGGGACCUGAAGAUCCACAGCUGGCUCUACAGAAAUGGUAGCUGGAAAACCCCAAGUGAACCCCACCCACUGCAUAACUCACAACAGGUAAGCCCAGCUGACAGAUUCUAUCUGACAAACAUCUAGGCUGUACCUUCGUCUGCGCAGAACCUCACAGAUAUUCCAACAGAUUGAGAAAAGAACGAGGACUAUGUUGACCAAAAUUUAAAAAUGAAGUAUUUUAAAUGCACCACAGUAAGUUCUACCAAGUUACAAUGGCAACAAAACAAUGAGUUGUGAAAGUUAUUAUUGUGAAAAAAAAAACUAAGCUAAUGAGUUAGCUAGCUUCAGUAAGAGUGAGAUGUUUCACAUGAAAUUAGAGGAAGUACAGAGAGAUUUUUAUUGGCUUUGUUUCAUUCAAUCUGCAGAGACAUGCCUGAAAUUCAUUUAGUCUGCAAGAGAGUGAGCGAGAGCAAGACAUCGAUACAUGACAGAACAGCUAAACAGAGAAUAGCAGAGUAACCCCGUCCUCCCUUUUUGAGUUUUUAACCUAUGCAGAAUCAGGAAAUGUUGGCAGCAUUUUGGAAAUCUCAAGAGUUAAACAAGCCUCUACAUUACUAAGAUAAUACAUAAGGAGACUGCUCUUUAAGAACUCGGCUAACAGCAGAGUUUUUUUUUAAAAUGUAAAAUCCACAAUCAGUUUAUGUUUGUUUUAAGAUUAAAAGUAAACUCGGCUUUCUUAUUAUACUAUUACACAAACCUGCCUGCAAGACAGGCUAAGGUCAAAUUUCAGGCUCCAAGCUCUCAAUACAAGAGGAUGUUAAUACCAAGCAUAUGGUAACUGUACACAGGCUCUUAAAGGGAACUCAGAGCAAGAGUAAACUUGCAAGUUCAGACUGCAGGAGGGGAAGUCUGGAGGUUUGCCCAUGGCUCAAUGUUGCCAAAAUUGUUGCAUACAGUAUCUUGUAUGUGGAAUGUUACAAGUCAACUAAGACACACUAGUUUGCGUACAAACGAGAUAGCUGGGAACAGAAUGUACUUUAACGUAGCGUCCGAUCUUUUUAAGUGUGUUCUCAGAUGCAGAGAAUACAAAUUCUGAACAAAAGAAUUUGUUCAGAACUCUUCCUGCUGUUUGUGGUUUUGUUUUUACAGGAAGGUUUUGAAGGACCGGAGUCCAAACGACACAUGCUGUCACUGGUGGCGGUGGGAGCAGAGGAAUUUCAAGAGCCGUGGAUCAGUUCUGUUCUGCAGAAAAACAACCCGGAGUAACAUCAUGCUAUCUUUCACAUAGUUGUGAUGUGCAAAGUCGUUCUAAUUGUGAAUGCAGAUGAUGACAUGAAAUAAUGACUUCCUGUUUCUUCUGUUUAGCAGACUGUUAACUGUAAGUACAGCAAACUUCAGACAGGUUGAUGCUAAACAGCCUAUUCUGGACUCGGUGCCUGUAAGUACAAAUCUGCCAGAUACAAAUAUACAGAACAACACAUUUUUUCCUACUUUCUUUUCUGAAAAGAGGUAAGUAAAAGUAAAAGUAAAAGCCAGGUUUAGGAAAUCGUAUAAAAAGGUAUAGUUCGAAAGUAAUGCAGAUUUGCAUUAGUUUCCUAUAGUUUAAAAUGAUUUCAAUGAGAUGCCCAAGAAAUUUGCAUGACUAAUAUUUUCUCUGGUUGUACAUGUAUGCCUUUUACACUUUACUGUACAAAACACAAAGCAGCAUAAAGAUAUUUAUGAUGUACAAUAAGCAUUUUAAAACCGCAAUUUGUUUCAAAUUGAAAAAUGAACAAAUAUGACUUAUUCAUAUGUUAUGCCAAAACAUUAUUUAAAAAAUG
Xiphophorus couchianus (Monterrey platyfish) is the source of this 2039-nucleotide long non-coding RNA. RefSeq lists it as uncharacterized. The record is from RefSeq and is a predicted model, not a curated record. NCBI's taxonomy places the organism in Eukaryota, Metazoa, Chordata, Actinopteri, Cyprinodontiformes, Poeciliidae. The transcript is spliced from 2 exons.